RNAcentral lists this ribosomal RNA (1206 nucleotides) under Triticum aestivum (bread wheat). Its description in RNAcentral is "partial small subunit ribosomal RNA". The record is from RNAcentral. Lineage: Eukaryota; Viridiplantae; Streptophyta; Magnoliopsida; Poales; Poaceae.
AUGGAGCAUAGUGCUCAGCUUCUGACGCCAACACUGUCAAGGCCCAAGCUCACCACCAACGGCGACGAGCUCCCCGAAGCUGUCGUCCUCGAGGAUGCGGGUGCCGCCAUGGCCGGCUUUGUGGGCCUCCUCCGCCAGCUCGGCUUUGAAAUUGCGCUCGCCGCAGAGGUGUUCCACGGCCUGCACAACCAGGCCACGGCGGUGUCCACUCGGGCGAUCGGCCUCACGGUGGGGGCGCAGCGGAUCGAGGCGCAGCUGCCGCUCAUCGAGGAACGUUUCCGCCGUCGUCGGAGUGCACGGCCCUGCUUCCUGCAGCAGCAGGACGUCGCCGUUGCCUGCAGCAAUUCAGUCUUGUCGUCAGGCAUUCGGUCAGAAGGUUUGUGUGGUGUCGCAGGCCACGGCGUGGAUCGGCGCCGCCCGAGUGCCUGGCUGGUGAACCACAGCGUGAUUGUGGUGGGAGGAACGAAGUCUCGUUCCAUGGCGGAGCACAUCCGGCGGUGCCGCGGGCCUCCACAGCUGUCCCUGCUUGACAAGUAUGAUACUUGUGGCGAGGGGGCGUGCCUGAAGCGAUACACAGACCCGUCCUUCUUCAGAGCCCAGUCUGCCAAGCAUGAGCUUUUCUUGCAGGAAGCCAAACCAAAGCUUCAGAGUUCACACAAAUGCUCCAAAUUCAAAACAGACGCGUUGCUCGAUACGCUCCGGCAACUGAAAUAUCGACACAUCAUCGGAAGAAUCAGGCGUCAAAUGCACAGCUCUCACAAUCAGGAUUCGCCAGAAGAUGAAGCAUCCGAAGCACACGUUUUGUCUCCAUCGGAUUCGCCUGAAACAUCAAAUACCAAAGUGCCAUGCCCUUCGGUACCAGUGAACAAGGAGAGGAGCAGUGUCCUCGUCCAGAGGACCAGUUCGUUCGGGGCAUGGCUCUCUCCGGAUGCAGCUUCUACUCAUGCGUCUGACAUCAUACAAGAAACCAAUGCUGAUGGAUUUGCCAGCCAUGGCGCAAACAAGGCCGAUGAGAAUGCCAACAUUGCGACAAAUGCUCGUAGCGCCCUUAUCGACUUCAUCGCCUCAAGGGUCGAAAGCUCGCCGAGGAAGCUCUCUGUCAGGAAGCAUAGUGAUCCUUUAACGGAAUCCUUCCGGAACAUGGCUAAGAAGGUGCUGCUUGAGAAUGAAUCAGCACAUUCUUCACAACGAACCAGUGAAUUCUGA